ACAUGAUAAAGGAAAUAGGGAAAAGAUCAGGCACAUCACUAAAGCAGUGAACGCUUUCACACAAAUAGAAAAUGAAGCUAGUUGCCAGAUUAAGUUAUCUAAAAAGAUGAUGGAAUGGAUUCAGAAGGUACGACAUGAAUUUAGGAAGGAAAGAUGCAUUUAUCACUACUUAAGGUGCUGCUGAAGAAGAUACUUUAAAUGGAGGAUGUCCAUCCCACCUGACUGACACUGGUAAGGACCACCAGGAUGCAUCAUCCUCUCCUUAGCCUCUUUUUGACCAACUGUGGUUUUGAACAGCAGCGGGAUAAAGAGUGGACGUGGGAGGGUGAGAAGGAGGAGGAAGGGGCCUUCUUGAGUUGGAGAAGAGAAAGUCUAGAAUGGAAAUCGUACCAUGAAAUAACAUCUAUGUAUAUUGUUUUACCUUUGGGUUAAUUUCACCUACCUUCAUAGCUAAAAAGGUGGAAUUUAAGGUUAAAAGGUUAAAUUUGCCAUAACUGUUCAGAGAAGUUUAAUUCCAAAUACAGUGUUAUAAUUUAAUUUAUAUCUAGCCCAUGCAUCUUUCUGCAGCAUGCCAACAGAAAAGUCUGAGGUCCCAAAUCCUGUUUUGUUUUUCCCCUUUCUUUAUAUAUGUCCGAGAUAACCGAACUCACUGUAGGUCAAUGUGCACAUUUGAAUUCAAAUGUUAUCAUCUCUUAUUUUUCUAUUUUGAAUACUUGAGACAAAAAAAAAAAAAAAAGUCUGGAAAGAGCCAAAAUCUUGUAACUGAAAUCAAGGAAAACUAAUGGGAAGAAGCACCUAGAAGAUGCAGUCAGAACACAGUACCCAGUGGAAAGCAGGAAGAGAAUCACCUGCAAAAAGAGGAAAUAAGUAUUUAUAUUCUCAAGACAAAGACAACAGAAUAGUGGUGACAAAAGAACCUGCUCUAGCCAAGUAUUUCUGGGUGGUUUUCACCAACAGAUUUCCAUUUGAUGGUCUGUUAAAGGUUGAAAAGAAAAACAUUACUGCUACUACCACUGGAAAGCUCACAUCUUGAACCAGCAAAUAGCUAGUUCGGGUGAAUAAAAAAAUCAAGGCAAAAGGACAAAUUCUUAUGAGGAUUAAAAGCAAGUGUGGAAUCUGUUGAUGCCAUGUAAUGGAUAAUGACAAGAAACUUUGCUGACAGAAUGGAAAGAAAUGGACAAAUUUCGGAGAGUAUUAUUCAUACAAAAUGCUUUCUUCCAAGAACUAUCAUUCAUAGAAUUAAAUAAUUAAUAAAUAAUAUUU
Molecule: long non-coding RNA, 1263 nt
Filed under: Gallus gallus (chicken)
Lineage: Eukaryota; Metazoa; Chordata; Aves; Galliformes; Phasianidae
Description: lncRNA (ENSGALG00010016065.1)
Source: RNAcentral